CCUACGGGAGGCAGCAGUGGGGGAUAUUGCACAAUGGGGGAAACCCUGAUGCAGCGACGCCGCAUGGGUGAAGAAGCGCCUCGGCGCGUAAAGCCCUGGCAGCAGGGAAGAAAAUGACGGUACCUGAAGAAGAAGCCCCGGCUCACUACGUGCCAGCAGCCGCGGUAAUACGUAGGGGGCAAGCGUUAUCCGGAUUUACUGGGUGUAAAGGGGGCGCAGACGGCGAUGCAAGCCAGGAGUGAAAGCCCGGGGCCCAACCCCGGGGCUGCUCGUGGAACUGCGUGGCUAGAGUGCAGGAGGGGCAGGCGGAAUGCCUGGUGUAGCGGUGAAAUGCGUAGAUAUCAGGAGGAACACCGGUGGCGAAGGCGGCCUGCUGGACUGCAACGGACGUUGAGGCCCGAAAGCGUGGGGAGCAAACAGGAUUAGAUACCCUUGUAGUC
Molecule: ribosomal RNA, 440 nt
Filed under: uncultured bacterium
Lineage: Bacteria
Description: partial 16S ribosomal RNA
Rfam family: Bacterial small subunit ribosomal RNA
Source: RNAcentral